AUGGUAACCCAGCAGUGCAGCCCCACAGACCCAGCUCAAGGGAACAGAAGCUCGGGGGACAGAAGGGGACUCGUGGGCAGGAGGAAGAGAGGGAGGACUCAGAGGACACUCACAUACUGGCUUGGGGUCUGGAACAGGCGGCAGGAGCAGAGGAACUGGCAGCACAUUGGAUCCCGGUGGUACAAGAGCAGCAGCAGAAUGAGGAUCGCUACGAUGAAGACGGAGGUGGACACCGCUGCGGAGAGACGGGAGAGGCGAGAGAGCCGGUGUUUCGAUGGGACCGCGGGCCUUCUCCUCCCGCCCGCUCUCGCCCCGCGGCUGCCGCUCGGAGAAGCCCCUGAGAAGCCAAUUCCACCCGCUGCCCGUCCCAAGAGCGGCAAAGCCCCUUUGUGCCCAACACCUCUCCCUACGAGACCGGGAACAACCUGCAGAGCCAGGAGGGGCUCACCCCAUUCCGGACCGCGGCGGCAGGGACAGAACCGCGGGGACCGGCACCGGCACCGACCGUCUCUCGCCCGGGCCUCUCGGCUCCCCCAGCACCACGGCAGGGCGCCGGUUCGCCGGUGUUCCGGUCUCCCGGGAGCCCGCGGCUCCCCGCCGGCCCAGCCGCGGAUCCGCGGAGCCCACCGGCACCGCCGGCCCGCUCCGCUCCGGCCCCAAUCCCGCGAGCCAGCGGGACCCCCGGACUGGGACCGGCUGCUGCAGCGACCGCUACCCCGCCCGCCCCCAGGUAUCGCCUUAUCGGCACAGCCCGGGAGGCACCGGCAGAGGCCGAUCCCGCCCGGCGGCCGCCCCCGCUCCGCUCCCGGCACCGCCGGAGCCCCCGCACGCCACUCACUGGCGGCGAUGACGAUGGCCAGGACGUUGUUGUCCAUGCUGGCGCUGGCCGUCGCUGUGUGGCCCGAGGCCUCCGCGGGCUGCGCCAUCCCGACCCCUCCACCGCCAGCCCCUGCCCGCCGCCCGCGCCCCACAGCCCGCGAGGGGCGGGCCGGGCCCGGGGCG
Molecule: long non-coding RNA, 1002 nt
Filed under: Parus major (Great Tit)
Lineage: Eukaryota; Metazoa; Chordata; Aves; Passeriformes; Paridae
Description: lncRNA (ENSPMJG00000018314.1)
Source: RNAcentral